AAAGCGUGCGCAGGCGGUUGUGCAAGUCUGAUGUGAAAGCCCCGGGCUUAACCUGGGAACGGCAUUGGAGACUGCACGACUAGAGUGCGUCAGAGGGGGGUAGAAUUCCACGUGUAGCAGUGAAAUGCGUAGAGAUGUGGAGGAAUACCGAUGGCGAAGGCAGCCCCCUGGGAUGACACUGACGCUCAUGCACGAAAGCGUGGGGAGCAAACAGGAUUAGAUACCCUAGU
Molecule: ribosomal RNA, 230 nt
Filed under: uncultured bacterium
Lineage: Bacteria
Description: partial 16S ribosomal RNA
Rfam family: Bacterial small subunit ribosomal RNA
Source: RNAcentral